GCCAUCUUGGCUGAGGGCAAAGACGCUCCUGGCGCUCCCGUCUUUCGGCUUGCCUCAGUUGCCACUGCCAUCUUGGAUCAGGGUAAUUCCCGCCUCUUGGGCGCUCCCGGUUACAACCUCGGCGCCAUCUUGGAUUAGUUCAAUGUAGCCACCCUCUCCAGGCCCGCUGCUUCUGCCAGCUGGAUGUUGCGUCGUCCCUCGCUAUUCGCCCUCCUAUAAUCACUGCUUCCAUGUUGAAUCAAAACAAUUAUGCUUUCGUUCUCCCUUCUUCAAUUGCCCUAUCUUCACACCUGAACACUAUUGCUCCGGUAUCCUGCCAUUUUGGAUCAGGGCGGUUGACGGUGGAUUCACUUCCCAUCAGCCCUUGAGGCUGCAGGGACCAGCCCUUUGUACAGUGGAGAAGCCCAGGCGGCCUAGAAUCCAGUGUCGUCCGUGAGUGCUUGGCUGGUGUUCAAGUGCAUCUUCCAGCCUGAGACCGCGUGGACUCGCUCAUCGUGAGGGCGAGAGGAGGAUAAGCCCAUUGGGCUGUCGGCUGAGAGUGAGAUUGCUGAUGAAAUCCUUGGCAUCGUCGGAGAUCUCAUCGAAUGCCUCGUCGUCGAAGUCCCAGGUGGCUGAGGUAACGUUGGCCAAGGUUUCGUUAUCGUUGUCUCCCAUGAAGGGGGAAAGGCCACUGACUCUGGAGAGACAAGAGCAGGACAGCAGGUGUGGCUAGGAGAGGGCGCGACGACCAGAUGAGGGAAUUGAGGCACAGCCCAGGCUCAAGUCACCUGCCCAAAGAUUCACAGCCAGUGAGAUUGGAAGCCAGGUAUCUGCCUCUAGAGCCUGUCCUCUUAAAUGCUAUACUAUCCUAACAUUUCUGUAAAGAUGAAGUAAAUUGCAGUGUUCAGCACUGGCACCAGGCCUGGUCCACAGUAAGGAGGCGGUCCAUGCCCGGAGAUCUCAUGCAGUUCUGCUGGGUUCCCUCCACUGCCUUACCAAGCUGUGAGUGCAGGAAUGACUUUGUGACCAGCAGCUUAAGCCAAAUAAACUUUAUAAGGUAAAGAAUUUCAAAACAAAAUAGAGCAGAUUUGUGGCUUACUGACCUUACCUCUCACCUCUGUGCACCUCACCUUCAUAGCAACAACUCACCCCACUGUUCAUGAGGGCCUUGUGAGUCAGCCUCAUGGGUGUUAGACCAGCACAGUUGCCCACAGUCCCACCCUUAGACAGGCCCUGUGCUUGGUUUAAUGCUCUGCUGCUGUCGUCUCAAGAUUCUCAAUAAGGUUUGAACAAGUGGCCCCACCUUUCAUGUUGCAAAUUGUGUAGCUGUUCCUGCCCUGAUCUCAGCUGAGCCCCAUGAGAUGGGUCUGGGGGCCAGGCGUGGUGGCUCAUGCCUGUAAUCCCAGCACUUUGGGAGGCCAAAAUGGAUGGAUCACCUGAGGUCAGGAGUUUGAGGCUAGCCUGGCCAACACGGUGAAGUCCUGUCUCUACUAAAAAUACAAAAAUUAGCUGGGCAUGGUGGCAAGCACCUGUAAUCCCAGCUACUCGGGAGGCUGAGGCAGGAGAAUUGCUUGAACCCUGGAGGUGGAGGUUGCAGUGAGCCAAUAUCGCACCAUUGCACUCCAACCUGGGCAACAAGCGAAACUCAAUCUCAAAAAAAAAAAAAAAAAGAGAGAUGGGUCUGGGGCCCUCCUGCCAUCAACCUGUCAAGUUAGGGCUUUACCAAUGUCCCUUCUCCCAAAUGCUUAUGAAUCCAUCAUCAUAAGCCAAGCACUGACAGCUU
This 1762-nucleotide long non-coding RNA is filed under the name Homo sapiens (human). Its description in RNAcentral is "HSALNT0059699". Lineage: Eukaryota; Metazoa; Chordata; Mammalia; Primates; Hominidae. The record is from RNAcentral.